RNAcentral lists this microRNA precursor (61 nucleotides) under Xenopus laevis (African clawed frog). RNAcentral's name for it is "microRNA xla-mir-93 precursor". Its record names the gene xla-mir-93. It matches the Rfam family "mir-17 microRNA precursor family", at positions 12 to 69 of the family's 80-position model. From Rfam's summary of the family: This family represents the microRNA (miRNA) precursor mir-17, family, which includes mir-20, mir-91, and mir-103. miRNAs are transcribed as ~70nt precursors (modelled here) and subsequently processed by the Dicer enzyme to give a ~22nt product. Lineage: Eukaryota; Metazoa; Chordata; Amphibia; Anura; Pipidae. The record is from miRBase by way of RNAcentral.
CAAAGUGCUGUUCGUGCAGGUAGCUUUAUAACAGACCUACUGCAUGAGCAGCACUUCCUGA